CUACGGGUUGCAGCAGUGGGGAAUAUUGCACAAUGGGCGCAAGCCUGAUGCAGCCAUGCCGCGUGUAUGAAGAAGGCCUUCGGGUUGUAAAGUACUUUCAGCGGGGAGGAAGGGAGUAAAGUUAAUACCUUUGCUCAUUGACGUUACCCGCAGAAGAAGCACCGGCUAACUCCGUGCCAGCAGCCGCGGUAAUACGGAGGGUGCAAGCGUUAAUCGGAAUUACUGGGCGUAAAGCGCACGCAGGCGGUUUGUUAAGUCAGAUGUGAAAUCCCCGGGUUCAACCUGGGAACUGCAUCUGAUACUGGCAAGCUUGAGUCUCGUAGAGGGGGGUAGAAUUCCAGGUGUAGCGGUGACAUGCGUAGAGAUCUGGAGGAAUGCCGGUGGCGAAGGCGGCCCCCUGGACGAAGACUGACGCUCAGGUGCGAAAGCGUGGGGAGCAAACAGGAUUAGAUACCCGUGUAGUC
Molecule: ribosomal RNA, 464 nt
Filed under: uncultured bacterium
Lineage: Bacteria
Description: partial 16S ribosomal RNA
Rfam family: Bacterial small subunit ribosomal RNA
Source: RNAcentral